This 414-nucleotide unclassified non-coding RNA is filed under the name Hevea brasiliensis (rubber tree). The record is from RNAcentral. Lineage: Eukaryota; Viridiplantae; Streptophyta; Magnoliopsida; Malpighiales; Euphorbiaceae.
GAGGAAUAAUCAGAAAUAUGAUUGUACACAUUCAUGAAUCAUAAUUGAAAAAAAAAAUGAGAAACACAACAAAGGAAGCCCAGCCAGAGUGAACCAAGAAUGGUCAAACAAGCAGAAAGAUCAAGCUCUCUAUUACUAUCAAUAUUGUAUUGUAUUUGUAUUGUGAAUAGCCAGCCUCUCUCCAGGUACACUAGCUGUUUCCAGAGGUGGAGACCUCAGUGCUACAUAUUGGACACACCUUAUUUAUUUGUAACCAAUUGUUGAGGCAUUCAGAAUGAUACGUAUGUUUGCAGGACAACACGGUCAAUUUUUCACCAUCUUCAUAAUCCAAUCUACAUAUAACACACGAAUCAGUGGUUCCUUCUGAUGCAGUUUGUGUCUUAUAGUUCACGGAAGGCAAAGAGGCAAUUGUAU